This is an RNA transcript of Choloepus didactylus (southern two-toed sloth), 2304 nucleotides long. It is a transcript of the gene named leukocyte immunoglobulin-like receptor subfamily A member 4, with no coding region annotated. The transcript has 8 exons. The record is from RefSeq and is a predicted model, not a curated record. Lineage: Eukaryota; Metazoa; Chordata; Mammalia; Pilosa; Megalonychidae.
ACAUGGCAGGUUGGGGUCCCCAACUCAACAGGUCUUCCUGCUCUGGUCCACUUUCAGAGAAGAAUCCACAUCUCACUGAAGCAUCUCCAGGGGCUGGUGUGACAACGGCCAAUGGGCUGAGUCUCAGCCAGAGGAUCCGAGUGCAGGCGGGGACCCUCCCCAAACCCACCAUCUGGGCUGAGCCAGGCUCUGUGAUCUCCUGGGGGAGGCCUGUGACCAUCUGGUGUCAGGGGACCCUGGAGGCCGAGGAGUACCGUCUGGAGAGAGAGGGAAGACAAGCACCCUGGGACAGACAGAACCCACAGGAGCCCAGGAACAAGGCCAAGUUCUCUGUCUCACACAUGACAGAGACAUAUGCAGGGCGGUAUCAGUGCUACUACUGCAGCCCCACUGACUGGUCAGCACCCAGUGACCCCCUGGAGCUCCUGGUCCCAGGUGUGUCCAGGAAGCCGUCCCUCCUGGCCCAGCCGGGCCCUGUCGUGGCCUUGGAACAGAACCUGACCCUCCAGUGUCGCUCUGACAUCAGCUACGACAGAUUCGCUCUGUCCAAGGAGGGGGCUCGUGACCUCACCCAGUGCCUCGGCCGGCAUCCCCAGGGGGGGCUCUCUCAGGCCGACUUCCCCCUGGUCCGUGUGAGCAGCACCCACGGGGGCAGGUACAGAUGCUACGGUGGACACAACCUCUCCUCCGAGUGGUCGGCCCCCAGCGAGCCCCUGGACGUCCUCAUCGCAGGGGAGCUCCCUUCCACACCCUCCCUCUCUGCCCAGCUGGGCUCCAACGUGUCCUCAGGAGAGAAGGUGACCCUGCGCUGUCAGUCGUGGAGCCCGAUGGACAGUUUCCUUCUGUCCAAGGAGGGGGGAGUCGAUCCCCCCCUGCGUCUUAGAUCCUGGCACCGAGCCCAGAUGUUCCUGGCCGACUUCACUGUGAGCUCCGUGACCUCAGCCCCCGGGGGCACCUACAGGUGCUACGGCUCACGCAGCUCCAACCCCUACCUGUUGUCUCAGCCCAGUGCCCCCCUGGAGCUCGUGGUCUCAGGCUCUGCUCCGCAAGAUUACACAGUGGAGAAUCUCAUCCAAUUGGGCAUGGCUGGAUUCGUCCUGGUGGUACUCGGGGUGCUGCUAUUUCAGUCUCGGCAAAGCCAGGGAAGGCCCCAAGACGCAGCCAGGACAUAAACACAGGUGGAAACAAAUGCGCCAUUCAGAGUGGGAGAGUCUUGGAAAAUAUCUGAAGUGUCCAGUGGUCCUCGAAGAAAACUGUGUGAACUUUCCGCUGAGAAUCUCGCAGGGGAGCAUGCAUCAUUGGGCUACAGGACAUCAGGCUACAUCCCACAUGCCAGUUUGGGGUCCCCAACACAACAGGUCUUCCUGCUCUGGCCCACUUUCAGGUAAUAUUUCUCUUCAUCUUUAAGUAGAACAUUCCAUGAUUUGUGCUAUUGAUUCAUCAUGUCAUCAGUUCAAAUCAUGAAGCUUGGUUGUGAUAACUGAAUAAAUGAGCUGAAGUAAUUUUCCAGCCUGGAAAAGAUGAAUCCUAAAUGAUGUCCUAACACCCUCUCUGGACCCCAUGUGCCCUUCACUCUUCAGUACUUGCUGCCUGGGGUAAUUUCCCUACACAUAUCAUCACUUGGAAUCAACUCACUUUGUGCUUGAACAGACUGCCCGGUGGUGUGAUGGUAAACUGGCUCUCUAAAAAUACAUGCUUUUAAAGAGCAUUUGCCAAUUUCUCUGCUGUAAACACUCCAUUCAUGGCCAAGUUUCAGAUGCCAAUGUUACAUUUCUGAAUGCAGAGGUGGGGAGUUAUAUGCAGAAUCUUCUUUUGCAACUGAGUACAAACUGGCUGCAGCUCAUCUCUCUGAUGGCCUCGAUGUGCACUUCUAUUUCUUUUUAUUUCAUGUGUAAUGAUCAUUUCUACCCUAAAAUUAUGGCACAGUUUUAAAAUUUUAUUUAAAUUGUGGUAAAUCAUAAAAUAAGAAAAAUCAUUUUAACCAUUUUCAAGUGGACGAUUCUGGGACAUUAAGUAUAUUGACAAUUUUGUGUAACUAACAGCAUGAUCUAUUUCCAGACUAUUUUCAUCAAUCCAAAGUGAAAAUCAUGCCCAUUAUGCAACAUCUCCUGCCCAUAGUUGUGUGAAUUUGUCUCUGGACUGUAUUCUAUUUCAUUGACCUUUUUCUAUCCGUAUACUAGUAGCAUACAAUCAUUAUUGAAUAAUUUUCAGACAACAAAGGAAGCUGUGAUGGUUAGGUUUAUGUGUCAACUUGGCCAGGUGAUGGUGUCCAGGUGUCUGGUCAAGCAAGCACUGGCCUAACCA